RNAcentral lists this unclassified non-coding RNA (1210 nucleotides) under Manduca sexta (tobacco hornworm). RNAcentral's name for it is "uncharacterized LOC115456162, transcript variant X1". The record is from RNAcentral. Lineage: Eukaryota; Metazoa; Arthropoda; Insecta; Lepidoptera; Sphingidae.
UGUUAUAAAGUUAGUCAGUGUGUAAAGGAUAAUAAUAAACACUAGAAGUUUUGUUAUGCACAUAAAUAGCAUUAGAUGCAUAGUUUUAUUAAUAAUUCUAAGUAAGUUAUAACACUAAACUAAGUGAAAGGACUGAAAAUAUAGACGUACAUGAUAGAUAGAUGUACUUAAACUUAUAUAGAAUUACAUUUAUGUAGGGGAAGCGACUGCGCACGGAAAUCAAACGCGGAAAAGAAAUUUCACAAACUAUACAAUCAAACAUGGACAAAAUAAUAAUUCAAAACCAAUUCGAAGAAUUAACGAGGAUCCUCUUGAAAAACUGCAGAAAGAAUUAGGAAAGUUCGCUCAUCAUGGAAAAAUUGAAACUUACUAUGACCCAUACUGGCAGAGUGGAGAAUGGGUGUUUUUGAGGAUUACAACGCGCAAAGGGGAUACCCCUCCUGCAACGACCACAUUAAUACCCGGAAUUACUGCAAAAAAAUUUAGGAAAUGGCCGAUGUCUAUAUACCGGGACUGCGAUCUAUUAUGUAUAAAUAUUUAUAAGGAUAAUUAUGGUGCGGUGUGCGCGCAGCGGUACAACACUAUGACAUGGAAAAAUGAGUACAAAUCAUUUAAAAACAUGUGCGAAUUAGAACGAGAGAACUGCAAAUUACCCGAGAAACGACCGAUGUGGUAUCCAAUACACAGAGAGAAAUACUGCGAUGAAUUAUCGACAUUUAAGUUGUUCCCGACAAAUCCAACCUUGAUUUUGCAACGGAAGACUAGCUGGGCUCCCUACGAGUACCUUCGAACGAAGACUACUACCGUACCAGUUUUGUUUUUGACUACAACUGGCAAAAGUAAUUAGUUUUGAUGUUGCGCCAUUCGGGUAUUAUAAAUUGUGUUUUGUAUCGACAUAUCAGUAAACUAUAUGAAGAAAAUCCAGCAUGCCUUACAUGUGAUAAUUAUUAUUGUUUCUACAUGACACUUGAAGUAAUAAUAAAUUAUUUAUAAACACAUAUCGACAGUCAUAAACCUUUACUUUUAUUUAAUCUUGUUAGUAUUUGAUAUUCGUUUAUCAUAAUUCGAUAUGUGAUUACGAUUGGAGCUAUCAAAUGGAUCCGCUAGAAAAUAAAAUGUCCGAUUUAUGUUUGCGAUAAAUCGGACUUGAUGACACCCGUUCCGAUCUUCUGGAACAUCGCAUCGGACCAGUGCAUCCCUAGUGUAUGGA